GACAGAGGUGCCAAGCGUUGUUCGGAAUUACUGGGCGUAAAGCGCGUACAGGUGGCCUUGUAAGUCAUGUGUGAAAUCCCUUCGCUCAACGAAGGAACGGCAUGUGAGACUGCAGAGCUCGAGGGUGGGAGAGGAGAGUGGAAUUCCUGGUGUAGCGGUGAAAUGCGUAGAUAUCAGGAGGAACACCCGUGGCGAAGGCGGCUCUCUGGUCCACUCCUGACACUCAAACGCGAAAGCUAGGGGAGCAAACGGGAUUAGAUA
This 261-nucleotide ribosomal RNA is filed under the name uncultured bacterium. RNAcentral describes it as "partial 16S ribosomal RNA". It matches the Rfam family "Bacterial small subunit ribosomal RNA", at positions 524 to 784 of the family's 1533-position model. The record is from RNAcentral.